UGUUGUAAAUAAAAAUAUGCCCUUUUCCCUUAUGGGGUAUCCAAGAGCCCAUAUAGAGUCCUUACAUAGGUUCCCUAUUGGUAGGAGAAAAUAACAGAGGCCAACCAGAGAAUAUUGAGAAGCAAAGCAGCUAGUAAGCUUGAUCUUUAUUAAUCUGUUGCAACAGGGUGCUCCCUCACACGCAGGAGAGGAAGAGGACCCCCAAAAAUGCUGUGCAAGGGCUUAUAAAGACUUUUGAAAUUCCCAUCCUCUAGAUCAAGACCACCCCCAGAAACAUUAUGCAUUCAUCACAGAAGGGGUGUAACCUAAGACCACCCCUCAGAUACAUCCCACCUACAUCACAGAAAUUUAAAUGUUGUUUUUCUCCUGUCACAGUUUAUCUCCUGUCUGGCAAGUUACUUGAUUGGAUUGCCUGGGGAGCCUGGCCAUUCCUUUGUAGUGGUAAAAUACUUAUUUCCUGGGCCAGGUCACAGGCUCACACCUUAUUCAAACAGACAUAUCCUUGAGACAGGAUUUGUGAGGAAAGAGACAAUGGGGAGGCUUUUCCAUCUUUACCAUGCAGAGAAACAUUUGCUCAGUUUAGGAAUCAAAAUGGUUCCAGGUUGGCCUUCCUGUGCUGAUCUAUGUACGUGUGGUUAUGAACGUUGCCAUAUAUCUAAAACCAUAAAAUUCCUAUCACAUUAUCCCCCCUUUGGGGCUAGAAUUUUUCUUAAAAAUUUUUGCCCCACAAAUAAUAACAUCGUAUGUUGUAAAUGGAUGCCUUUGUAUAAAUAUAUCAUAGAAAAAUAACAUAUGUUGCAUUUUGUUACUAAAUUACUUGUGGCAUUCUAGCUCUUGGGAGAAACAUUUUCUCAAUAGUGCCUAUGCUUUACAUUUAGCAGGAAGGUCCUCUAAUGACUGAAAAAUGCAGUUGGUGUUUUGUCCUUCGCCAUUUUUGUGUUUCUCAGGUGUCAAGCUAGCUCUUCUGUGGUCUCACAUCGGCAUGGUGUCACAGCAGUGGCAAUCCUGUCUGUUGAAUCCACUUAGGGCUUUCACAUUAACCAUGUUGCCUGGCACUCACCACAGCUGGCACAGGUUUAGGACACGUCAUGAGAGAAAUGUCUUUGCCUUGGCCAUUCUAUGGGAUUUUAUUAUUAUAGGCUCUGGUCUUGCACUCAUGGGAAGUUGCUCACUUGCACUUAAAGGACCAAAAAGCUAAUUCCAGCCUGGAUACACUUGCCCAAUUCAAACUGAGUCCAAUUUGAAUUUAUCUUGCCCCAAUGGUUCUCAACUCUUCAAACCAAUCUGUUAAAAGAAACCAUUCUCAAAAAGGGCAGUUGUCCAAAUAAGUCAAUUUAAGUCUAUAAGGGAUCAUUCCUGCUAAACCAAAGCCUAUUCACCUUCAUGUAUCUUAGAAGCUUCUCCUUGGUAAAGCGAGUUUUAGCACAUUUUUAAAAUGGGUAGGGAAGGUUGGCAUAGUGCCAGGUGGGACAAUCUAAACAUUGGACUACGCAAUAGCGCGAGCUAUUAGAAAGUAUAAAAUGCAUGAGAAUUCUCCAUUGGUGUGUAAGCAAUAAGACAUUAAACAUAAAAACAAUUACACACAAAAAUACCCCCCCCCUUUGUGGAAAUAACACACUGUCAGACACAUUUCAACAUUCCUACGUAAUAACACAUAAUAC
RNAcentral lists this long non-coding RNA (1661 nucleotides) under Podarcis lilfordi (Lilford's wall lizard). The record is from RNAcentral. Lineage: Eukaryota; Metazoa; Chordata; Lepidosauria; Squamata; Lacertidae.